Molecule: long non-coding RNA, 304 nt
Organism: Magnolia sinica
Lineage: Eukaryota; Viridiplantae; Streptophyta; Magnoliopsida; Magnoliales; Magnoliaceae
Exons: 3
Source: RefSeq, a predicted model, not a curated record
CCUAUUUUUGGGUGGUUCUUGAUUUUUUGGAAAAUAAAUUGUUUCAGUUUCCUUAAUUAUGUUGUUCUUUUUGCUUAUUAUUUCCCCUAGGGAGCUGGAUGUGCUUUCUCUGCUGGUGGGGAUCUAAAGAUGUUCUAUGAUGGGAGGUCAGAUGAUUCCUGUCUCGAAGUUGUGUAUAGAAUGUAUUAGCUAUGUUAUCACAUUCACACAUAUAGGAAAACCCAGGUAGUGCUUGUUCAUGGACUUGUCAUGGGUGGAGGUGCAUCACUGACUGCUCCAUUAAAAUUCUCGGCUGUCUCUGAGA